UACAGAGGUCUCAAGCGUUGUUCGGAAUUACUGGGCGUAAAGGGUGCGCCGGCCGCGCGGGCAGUCAAAUGUGUAAUUCAGGGGCUCAACCCCUGCACUGCGCUUGAUACUUCCGCGCUCGAGCUUUGGAGAGGAGUCUGGAAUUCUCGGUGUAGCAGUGAAAUGCGUGGAUAUCGAGAAGAACACUUAGGGCGUAGGCAAGACUCUGGACAAAUGCUGACGCUCAUGCACGAAGGCUAGGGUAGCGAACGGG
This 253-nucleotide ribosomal RNA is filed under the name uncultured bacterium. RNAcentral describes it as "partial 16S ribosomal RNA". It matches the Rfam family "Bacterial small subunit ribosomal RNA", at positions 524 to 776 of the family's 1533-position model. The record is from RNAcentral.